RNAcentral lists this transfer RNA (69 nucleotides) under Scomber scombrus (Atlantic mackerel). Its description in RNAcentral is "tRNA-Pro". It matches the Rfam family "tRNA". Rfam says of the family: Transfer RNA (tRNA) molecules are approximately 80 nucleotides in length. Their secondary structure includes four short double-helical elements and three loops (D, anti-codon, and T loops). Further hydrogen bonds mediate the characteristic L-shaped molecular structure. tRNAs have two regions of fundamental functional importance: the anti-codon, which is responsible for specific mRNA codon recognition, and the 3' end, to which the tRNAs corresponding amino acid is attached (by aminoacyl-tRNA synthetases). tRNAs cope with the degeneracy of the genetic code in two manners: having more than one tRNA (with a specific anti-codon) for a particular amino acid; and 'wobble' base-pairing, i.e. permitting non-standard base-pairing at the 3rd anti-codon position. The record is from RNAcentral. Lineage: Eukaryota; Metazoa; Chordata; Actinopteri; Scombriformes; Scombridae.
CAGAGGAUAGUUUAAGUAGAAUCCUAGCUUUGGGAGUUAGGGGUGGAGGUUAAAUUCCUUCUCCUUUGA